Molecule: ribosomal RNA, 802 nt
Filed under: uncultured bacterium
Lineage: Bacteria
Description: bacterial SSU rRNA
Rfam family: Bacterial small subunit ribosomal RNA
Source: RNAcentral
AGAGUUUGAUCAUGGCUCAGGACGAACGCUGGCGGCGUGCUUAACACAUGCAAGUGGUGCGACGAACCAGGGCUUGCCCUGGGGCAAAGCCGCGAACGGGUGAGUAACACGUGAGUAACCUGCCCCGAUGACCGGGACAACCCGAGGAAACUCGGGCUAAUACCGGAUGUGGUGUACGGAUUUAAGUCUGUGCACUAAAGGAAGCUUCGGCCUCCGCAUUGGGAGGGGCUCGCGGCCCAUUAGCUUGUUGGUGGGGUAACGGCCUACCAAGGCAACGAUGGGUAGCUGGUCUGAGAGGACGAUCAGCCACACUGGGACUGAGACACGGCCCAGGCUCCUACGGGAGGCAGCAGUGGGGAAUCUUGCGCAAUGCGCGAAAGCGUGACGCAGCAACGCCGCGUGGGGGAAGACGGCCUUCGGGUUGUAAACCCCUUUCAGGAGGGACGAAGGUUCACCGGUGAAUAGCCGUGUGGAUUGACGGUACCUCCAGAAGAAGCUCCGGCUAACUACGUGCCAGCAGCCGCGGUAAUACGUAGGGAGCAAGCGUUGUCCGGAAUCAUUGGGCGUAAAGCGCGCGUAGGCGGCCCUGUAAGUCCGUUGUGAAAGUCAAAGGCUCAACCUUUGAAAGCCGAUGGAUACUGCAGGGCUAGAGUCCGGAAGAGGCGAGUGGAAUUCCUGGUGUAGCGGUGGAAUGCGCAGAUAUCAGGAGGAACACCAAUAGCGAAGGCAGCUCGCUGGGACGGUACUGACGCUAAGGCGCGAAAGCGUGGGGAGCGAACAGGAUUAGAUACCCUAGUAGUCC